GAAUUAUUUACGCAACAGUCAGUAAUAUCAAUAGAAGUCUCUAUAGUUGAGCGCUUGAGAAAAAAAAAAUUGAACUUGACUAUGAUAAAUGCCAGUGAAUAUGUUUAAUCUUACAGCAUAUCUUAUUAUUUUCAGCUACAAGUUUUGGCCCAGUAGCAGAAUAUUUAGACAAUAUCUGGCACAGAAACAGAUAUGUUACCAUUGUAACUCGCCGAAUGUUAG
RNAcentral lists this unclassified non-coding RNA (222 nucleotides) under Hevea brasiliensis (rubber tree). Lineage: Eukaryota; Viridiplantae; Streptophyta; Magnoliopsida; Malpighiales; Euphorbiaceae. The record is from RNAcentral.